Molecule: ribosomal RNA, 253 nt
Filed under: uncultured bacterium
Lineage: Bacteria
Description: partial 16S ribosomal RNA
Rfam family: Bacterial small subunit ribosomal RNA
Source: RNAcentral
UACAGAGGUCUCAAGCGUUGUUCGGAUUCAUUGGGCGUAAAGGGUGCGUAGGUGGCGCUGUAAGUCGGGUGUGAAAUUUCGGAGCUUAACUCCGAAACUGCAUUCGAUACUGCGGUGCUUGAGGACUGGAGAGGAGACUGGAAUUUAUGGUGUAGCAGUGAAAUGCGUAGAGAUCAUAAGGAAGACUAGUGGCGAAGGCGGGUCUCUGGACAGUUCCUGACACUGAGGCACGAAGGCCAGGGGAGCAAACGGG